Molecule: ribosomal RNA, 253 nt
Filed under: uncultured bacterium
Lineage: Bacteria
Description: partial 16S ribosomal RNA
Rfam family: Bacterial small subunit ribosomal RNA
Source: RNAcentral
GACGGAAGGUGCAAGCGUUGCUCGGAAUCACUGGGCGUAAAGGGCGCGUAGGCGGCCCGCUAAGUCGAACGUGAAAUCCCCGAGCUCAACUCGGGAACUGCGUCCGAUACUGGCGGGCUUGAAUCCGGGAGAGGGAUGCGGAAUUCCAGGUGUAGCGGUGAAAUGCGUAGAUAUCUGGAGGAACACCGGUGGCGAAGGCGGCAUCCUGGACCGGCAUUGACGCUGAGGCGCGAAAGCUAGGGGAGCAAACGGG